AUCGAGUAACCUAAGACACAAUGGAUCAUGGAGACUGAGGAACAAAACAAAAAAGUCUGUCACUCCACUCUGUCCGCACAUACUGCAGUGUGCGCGAUCAACUCAGUCAUGCGCUCUCUCACAAGUCUGGGCCGAUGCCUAAGGUAAAAGAGGCUCUCCCCCUUGUUACAGCAGGGGUUGGUGCUGCCACUUUGCUCUGUAUACGAUGCUUGUGUAUCAUAAUGUAGCUGCUCCUUACCCUGUCUCCCUCAGAAAACAUAAUCUGCUUUAACAGAAAAAAUCAUCCUGUAAUGUUCUCUAGUCUUGUGCACUGUGGAAGAAAAAAAGCUUCUAUUUGAGAUUUUAGCUUCCUGCCUAUUUCUGACAAGAGUUAUUGGUGUCAGUGUUUCACAGAACUACCAGAGUCCUCAGCAGUAAGCCUCAAACCCAAAGACUGCACAGUGAUCUUGGGAAAAGCUUGAGUCACUUUGAUUUUACUCAAACCAUACCAAAAGGGGAAGCGUGUAGCGAAAGUAUUUUAAACUCCCCAAUAUUUGAAAUCAUGGGAACUUAACAUAUUUUCACAAAUAUGUCCAGCAGAAAUUCCAGUAAAUGUGAGUAAGGCUUGGGAAAAGAAUGAAACUAACCUCUUCCAACCAGAUGACUAGAUGCUUUAUAUGUGCAAGAAUAUGACAUUGAAUUAGGCAUAGCUGAAAACCUUUAGCUGUAACGAAUACUAAACUGUUAGCCACACUGACAACAUAGCCGCUCAUCACCUUAAUUUACGUACACAACCUAGGAAACCAAUGCAGCACAGUUGGAUCUUACAGGAAAAUUAAGUUAGCAGCGUAGUAACUGAGGAAAAAUACAGCAAGUAUGUGUACUGUCAGUCAGUCUGUCCUCCAUUUCAGAGCUGCCAUUUCAAAUUUUCCUGCAGGACUUUCCACAGUUAAUUUAACUUUUCAUCGUAUGAAGGGUGGUGAAUGCCUUCGUCGUACAACAGCCAGUUCUCUCUCAGGAAAGACCUAAUUGGUCAGUCUCUAGUCAUGGGUUAAGCCUGAAAAGAGAGCUGAGAGAAGUUGCACAAGUCUAGUUUUCUCUCGGACAACCUCAAAUUAAAACAUGCAGAAGGAUUAUUGUGGAAGCUUACAGAAAAAUGUCUGCUUAACUUUGCUACUUUAAUAAAAUUCAGUAGCCUGUCAAGGAAGCCACCAGACUUAAAGCAAAUUGCUCCAGCCUACUAUUGUUCAGUCUGAAUGAUUCAUAUUCUGAAAUGGCCACGGUGCACCAGCCCUGACCUUUGCUCAUGUUAGACGGUGGAGUUUCUAAAUUUUAUUAAAGAGGAUGACACCAGAUGAAAUCAUGGAGGUUUUUAGCUGUGGUGAAAGUUUCAGUAAUAAUGCAGAAGUGAAAACUGUUCUGGUCAUUUAUAAAGAAAACGUAAUGUCUGAUGCCUAACCCAAACAGAGAUUUAGGUUAUAUUUGACUGAGGUCAUGGUGAGAUAAAUUAGGAUUUACAAAAUUAAAUUAGAACGAGUACACUGAAGAGUUUCACUCUGAUUGCAAAGUGGAAACAGAAAUGUGUUGGACAUGUUUGUGAAAGUACGAGUCAGCACUGCAAAUGAACCCUUUGGAGACGUGCAAGGCUUAUAAAUGGCUGCCCCGUGAAUUGAACUGACUCAUAUUAUUUUGGCAAACUGAAACAUCACGAUGCCAGUUCUGGAUGCUCAAGGGACAAAAAAAAAAAAAAAAUCCUAAUUGGGCACGGAGUCCUGUUCUGUAAGGCCCUGUAUUCAAUUGCACCAAAUCUAAAAUGGCUGCCAACAGACAGCUCUUUAAAAAAAAAAAAAAGGAAAAAAAUGGCCAUGUAACCUUUACUCAAGCCGUUCUGGGGAAAAUCACCGAACAGUGCUCUGCUGAAGGAAGCUCAUGCUGUAUCUUAUCUCUGUGCCCUGUGAGAGCCUUGGUGUGCGUUUGUCAAGACGGAGCAGAGAUAGAUAGGGCAGUUCAGUCCAAUGCUGGCCCAUAGCAUUUGAACAGACCUCAAAUACUCUUUCUUGUCACCAUUCAUCAUCUCUUAGAUCAUUUUCAGUGAAGUAUCUCAAUUACGUUCUGACAAUGACAACUGCUGUUACAAAUGUCUUCAAGGUGUUUGCACAUUCAGCUCAGUAGUGUUUUUGUGUCUAAAUGGGGUGCUUGUGAAUGCCCUUCCUUGGUUUAAUGGGCACUGUUGAUUAACGGUGCGGCACAAAAAAAAGGGCCGGAAGGUAAGGUUAAGAAAUUUGAUCAAGGUAAGGCUAAUCCAAGUAUCCCACUUAGAUUUUACCAUGUUAUAGUUCAGAGCAAUAAAUGCAUUUCUGAGCUGAUUAACUUGCCAAUACAAACUAUUGGCCUUACUGAAGCCUCAUUAAAACUAAGAAGUGACUGCUGUGCCAUGCCUGCUUGAUGUUGGGAGAGGAACAGUCCAUUUAACCACUAUGCAACCCACUUGUGCUUGUCUGUUUCUCUCCUUUGUCUGUGUUCGCAGUUCUAAACAGAGCACCCUGUGUGUCAGGAAAACUAUAUCCUCACACACAAAGAGAAGGAGAGAAUGAACAGUAAAUAUUCAAACUACACAAAACGUUGUUCAACAGAAAAACGGAUCGAUAAAGAGUUGAAGCUCUCCGUGCCAAGUGACUCCUCGUAAAUGGGUACUUAAACUUUUUUUUUUUUUUUUUUUUUUCCCCCUCCUUUUGGUGGGGUGAGAUGAGGAGCCAAACGGACUUGGUGUUUAAAGUGAGAAAAUGAAAGCUGUGGUUCCUAAUGUCCUGUCUAAGUGGAUGUCUCUAUGUGUGAUGAAGCGUGAAGUGCUCUGUAACCCUAACAAAAUGACUAUCACUGUGUUCCUGUGCUUUUAAAUGGCCUCCUCCUCACUGUCACUAUCUCUGCCUCCAUCCUCCUCAGUAUGAAAUGGGAAGGCGAAAUGGAGGACAUCCAUAAAUAGAGUAAUUGCAUGAAGGGCAGGUGUUUAUCGUACCCUCAGCCCUCACACACUCUAUAAUGAUCAAAAAAAGGUCAAAUUGUUAAUGGUGCUUGAACUUCAUAUUUUCCUCUGUCCAUACUGAAUAUUGUAUAAAGUUAGAUUAUGUGUAGUCUGUUUAAUCUUCUGUGAUAGUUCACACCUCAAAAUACUAAAAUGCUCAAACUGCAAAUUUAUCCAUCUGCUUGCCGCAACGAUGGAUGCGUAAUCUUUUUUAUAUAACUUCAUUAAAUCACAAUGGAUACUCUUGCCAGUGAUCAACAAGUGUGAGUUUCGAAGUCAACACAAAUCUGUUGGGGUGAAAAAAUGUAGCUUAUUGUGCUGAAAACGUAUGUGACUCGGACUGCAGCAGUUCUCCUUCAGGAUUUCUCAGGAGUUUUGCUGCAUUCAAUUUACCCUCUACCUUCACGAGCUGCUGCAGCGAAGCCUCCACACAGCAUGACGCAGCCACCAUCACACUUGUGGGGAUAAUGUGUAGUGGUGAGGAGUUACUGACUUGUGAACGCAGUGGGCAGAAUUCAUAAAAUAAGCCUAAUUCCACAUGGAUCCUCCACUUUUGUAAUGCCAGCUUCCUCUACAGUAGCCCGCUGGUUUUAUAGGUAGCGUUUCCAUGUCAGCUUUAGGAUUGUGUAGACUUCCUGUAGACGUCUUGGUGCUCUUCUUCACCAAAUGUUGCACAAGUACAGUGUCCUCUAUAGAGAUGAGCAAUUUUUUUUCAUGAUAUUAAACUGAGUCAUGUAACUUAGCUUUUCUCUAAGUAAUACUUUAGAGUGACAAAUCACUCAAGUGUUUGUAAUGCAUUUAUAGGCCCAGCCUAACUCUUUUUAAUAUUAAAUGAACAUAAAGGGAAUGAAUAGUUUUUACAGAUGUUUUACAUUCUAUGAUGAUGAUCUUUGGUGCAACAGUUUUUCUAUGUGUCAGGCUUCUGUAUUGCCAAUUGAUUAAUCAGAAAAGUUAUUUUAGUCUAACAUAAUUUAUUGAAACAUUGUAACACAGAUGUGAUUUAAUAAAAAAAAAAAAAAAUUGAACUAUAAUCAAAGGUUUCUUUAAAAAAUAUUCUUGUACCAUAAAUCCUUUUUUGAAGAAAAAAAUUCUUCUUUCAUUCAAAUGAUUUUCAUUUCAAAACUACAUAUUUUAAACAUGGCUUAAAAUGUGUUGAUUUAGUGUCCCCUUCUAACCAGUCGUCUGUUUUUAUAGUAAUCUAAUUACAGACUUGUGGGGCAUGAAUGCAAAGCCACUGUUUGCUUAUUGCUCUUCUACAAAUGUUAAGAGAUGCAAAAUCAAUGGCUUAAUUCAACAUUUGCAUUUCUAAUGCUGGCAUUUUCCAAACUUUAUCCCUCUUGAGUCUCGCGCCAUUCCCUAUAGCCCCAAACAAAAUAUGGCUGCAAGAGGGGUGGAUGUGACUCUCAAGUCGAAACAUGUGUUAAAGCAGUUAAAGUGUACGCUAAUCCACUGGUACAUACAUGAAGAAGAGUUCAAGACAGUCUCUUGUAAUCAUGCUUACCUUAUACUCUGGGUUUUUGUCAGAGGCAAGUGUGAGUUUAUUAGAAGUACCUCUGGGUCCAUUUCAUUCAAACAUUUAUUGUCAUGUGACCAUGUGCUGCUUAUUCCUUCAAAAUUAAGUGUUUCAUGUUGUAGCAUUUAAAGCUGAUUUGAUUUUUUUUUUUUUUUUUUCUUUGAACCAUUUUGUUUAUUUUUAGUCACAGUGCUCCUUUUGUAAGUUUUUUUUAUUUUUCCUUUAUUUGCUUCAUAAAAUUUCAUCAUGCAUUCAGAUGCAAAUAUAAAAAAGCAGCUUCUGCA
Oreochromis aureus is the source of this 4798-nucleotide long non-coding RNA. RefSeq lists it as uncharacterized. Lineage: Eukaryota; Metazoa; Chordata; Actinopteri; Cichliformes; Cichlidae. The record is from RefSeq and is a predicted model, not a curated record. The transcript has 2 exons.